UAAGUUAGAAAGGGCGCACGGUGGAUGCCUUGACACUAGGAGUCGAUGAAGGACGGGACUAACGCCGAUAUGCUUCGGGGAGCUGUAAGUAAGCUUUGAUCCGAAGAUUUCCGAAUGGGGAAACCCACCAUACGUAAUGGUAUGGUAUCCUUAUCUGAAUACAUAGGGUAAGGAAGACAGACCCAGGGAACUGAAACAUCUAAGUACCUGGAGGAAGAGAAAGCAAAUGCGAUUUCCUGAGUAGCGGCGAGCGAAACGGAACAUAGCCCAAACCAAGAGGCUUGCCUCUUGGGGUUGUAGGACAUUCUAUACGGAGUUACAAAGGAACGAGGUAGACGAAGCGACCUGGAAAGGUCCGUCGUAGAGGGUAACAACCCCGUAGUCGAAACUUCGUUCUCUCUUGAAUGUAUCCUGAGUACGGCGGAACACGUGAAAUUCCGUCGGAAUCUGGGAGGACCAUCUCCCAAGGCUAAAUACUCCCUAGUGAUCGAUAGUGAACCAGUACCGUGAGGGAAAGGUGAAAAGCACCCCGGAAGGGGAGUGAAAGAGAUCCUGAAACCGUGUGCCUACAAAUAGUCAGAGCCCGUUAACGGGUGAUGGCGUGCCUUUUGUAGAAUGAACCGGCGAGUUACGAUCCCGUGCGAGGUUAAGCUGAAGAGGCGGAGCCACAGCGAAAGCGAGUCUGAAUAGGGCGUUUAGUACGUGGUCGUAGACCCGAAACCAGGUGAUCUACCCAUGUCCAGGGUGAAGUUCAGGUAACACUGAAUGGAGGCCCGAACCCACGCACGUUGAAAAGUGCGGGGAUGAGGUGUGGGUAGCGGAGAAAUUCCAAUCGAACCUGGAGAUAGCUGGUUCUCCCCGAAAUAGCUUUAGGGCUAGCCUUAAGUGUAAGAGUCUUGGAGGUAGAGCACUGAUUGGACUAGGGGUCCUCAUCGGAUUACCGAAUUCAGUCAAACUCCGAAUGCCAAUGACUUAUCCUUAGGAGUCAGACUGCGAGUGAUAAGAUCCGUAGUCAAAAGGGAAACAGCCCAGACCGCCAGCUAAGGUCCCAAAGUGUGUAUUAAGUGGAAAAGGAUGUGGAGUUGCUUAGACAACUAGGAUGUUGGCUUAGAAGCAGCCACCAUUUAAAGAGUGCGUAAUAGCUCACUAGUCGAGUGACUCUGCGCCGAAAAUGUACCGGGGCUAAAUACACCACCGAAGCUGCGGAUUGAUACCAAUGGUAUCAGUGGUAGGGGAGCGUUCUAAGGACAGUGAAGUCAGACCGGAAGGACUGGUGGAGUGCUUAGAAGUGAGAAUGCCGGUAUGAGUAGCGAAAGACGGGUGAGAAUCCCGUCCACCGAAUGCCUAAGGUUUCCUGAGGAAGGCUCGUCCGCUCAGGGUUAGUCAGGACCUAAGCCGAGGCCGACAGGCGUAGGCGAUGGACAACAGGUUGAUAUUCCUGUACCACCUCUUUAUCGUUUGAGCAAUGGAGGGACGCAGAAGGAUAGAAGAAGCGUGCGAUUGGUUGUGCACGUCCAAGCAGUUAGGCUGAUAAGUAGGCAAAUCCGCUUAUCGUAAAGGCUGAGCUGUGAUGGGGAAGCUCCUUAUGGAGCGAAGUCUUUGAUUCCCCGCUGCCAAGAAAAGCUUCUAGCGAGAUAAAAGGUGCCUGUACCGCAAACCGACACAGGUAGGCGAGGAGAGAAUCCUAAGGUGUGCGAGAGAACUCUGGUUAAGGAACUCGGCAAAAUGACCCCGUAACUUCGGGAGAAGGGGUGCUUUCUUAACGGAAAGCCGCAGUGAAUAGGCCCAAGCGACUGUUUAGCAAAAACACAGCUCUCUGCGAAGCCGUAAGGCGAAGUAUAGGGGGUGACACCUGCCCGGUGCUGGAAGGUUAAGGAGAGGGGUUAGCGUAAGCGAAGCUCUGAACUGAAGCCCCAGUAAACGGCGGCCGUAACUAUAACGGUCCUAAGGUAGCGAAAUUCCUUGUCGGGUAAGUUCCGACCCGCACGAAAGGUGUAACGAUUUGGGCACUGUCUCAACCAGAGACUCGGUGAAAUUAUAGUACCUGUGAAGAUGCAGGUUACCCGCGACAGGACGGAAAGACCCCGUGGAGCUUUACUGUAGCCUGAUAUUGAAUUUUGGUACAGUUUGUACAGGAUAGGCGGGAGCCUUUGAAACCGGAGCGCUAGCUUCGGUGGAGGCGCUGGUGGGAUACCGCCCUGACUGUAUUGAAAUUCUAACCUACGGGUCUUAUCGACCCGGGAGACAGUGUCAGGUGGGCAGUUUGACUGGGGCGGUCGCCUCCUAAAGUGUAACGGAGGCGCCCAAAGGUUCCCUCAGAAUGGUUGGAAAUCAUUCGUAGAGUGCAAAGGCAUAAGGGAGCUUGACUGCGAGACCUACAAGUCGAGCAGGGACGAAAGUCGGGCUUAGUGAUCCGGUGGUUCCGCAUGGAAGGGCCAUCGCUCAACGGAUAAAAGCUACCCCGGGGAUAACAGGCUUAUCUCCCCCAAGAGUCCACAUCGACGGGGAGGUUUGGCACCUCGAUGUCGGCUCAUCGCAUCCUGGGGCUGUAGUCGGUCCCAAGGGUUGGGCUGUUCGCCCAUUAAAGCGGUACGCGAGCUGGGUUCAGAACGUCGUGAGACAGUUCGGUCCCUAUCCGUCGUGGGCGUAGGAAAUUUGAGAGGAGCUGUCCUUAGUACGAGAGGACCGGGAUGGACGCACCGCUGGUGUACCAGUUGUUCUGCCAAGGGCAUAGCUGGGUAGCUAUGUGCGGAAGGGAUAAGUGCUGAAAGCAUCUAAGCAUGAAGCCCCCCUCAAGAUGAGAUUUCCCAUAGCGUAAGCUAGUAAGAUCCCUGAAAGAUGAUCAGGUUGAUAGGUUCGAGGUGGAAGCAUGGUGACAUGUGGAGCUGACGAAUACUAAUAGAUCGAGGACUUAACCA
This 2918-nucleotide ribosomal RNA is filed under the name Bacillus cereus. Its description in RNAcentral is "bacterial LSU rRNA". It matches the Rfam family "Bacterial large subunit ribosomal RNA". The record is from RNAcentral. RNAcentral also lists the same sequence under 1 other name. Lineage: Bacteria; Bacillati; Bacillota; Bacilli; Caryophanales; Bacillaceae.